UACGUAGGGGGCAAGCGUUGUCCGGAAUCAUUGGGCGUAAAGAGCGCGUAGGCGGCCCUGUAAGUCCGCUGUGAAAGUCAAGGGCUCAACCCUUGGAUGCCGGUGGAUACUGCAGGGCUAGAGUCCGGAAGAGGCGAGUGGAAUUCCGAGUGUAGAGGUGAAAUUCGUAGAUAUUCGGAAGAACACCAGUGGCGAAGGCGACUCACUGGCCCGUUACUGACGCUGAGGCGCGAAAGCGUGGGGAGCAAACAGG
Molecule: ribosomal RNA, 253 nt
Filed under: uncultured bacterium
Lineage: Bacteria
Description: partial 16S ribosomal RNA
Rfam family: Bacterial small subunit ribosomal RNA
Source: RNAcentral